UACAUGUGGGGCAAGCGUUGUUCGGAAUUACUGGGCAUAAAGGGUGCGUAGGCGGCUUGUUAGGUCACUGGUGAAAGUUUUCGGCCCAACCGGAAAAUUGCCUGUGAUACCGGCGAGCUGAGUGCGUGAGGGGUGGGGGGAACGAGCAGUGUAGCGGUGAAAUGCGUAGAGUAUUGCUCGGAAGGCCGGAGCCGAAGGGGCCC
RNAcentral lists this ribosomal RNA (203 nucleotides) under uncultured bacterium. RNAcentral's name for it is "partial 16S ribosomal RNA". It matches the Rfam family "Bacterial small subunit ribosomal RNA", at positions 524 to 726 of the family's 1533-position model. The record is from RNAcentral.